CUUCCUGGUGGGCCGGGCGGCCUUCCAAACCAAGGUGUUGUU
RNAcentral lists this transfer RNA (42 nucleotides) under Foraminifera environmental sample. Its description in RNAcentral is "partial Selenocysteine transfer RNA". Lineage: Eukaryota; Foraminifera. The record is from RNAcentral.